Molecule: non-coding RNA, 1420 nt
Organism: Microcebus murinus (gray mouse lemur)
Lineage: Eukaryota; Metazoa; Chordata; Mammalia; Primates; Cheirogaleidae
Source: RefSeq, a predicted model, not a curated record
AACCACUAGCACAACACAAAACCCCCAAACAGUGAAUUCCAUCUUUUCCAUAAAAUUCUUUUACUGCCACAACACACAAGAGCAUACAGCAGGUUAUCUCAGGCUGAUGUCUAAUAACUAGAUAUUAAGGGGCUUUGAGUUUUUCAGAGUGGAUGUUAUCUGAAGUUGGGACUUCAUCUGUUCCCUAAUAGUGAAUUUGUAGUGAACCUAGGACUAGAAAUUUGGUCUCCUAAAGCCUAGUCAGGGAGUUUAUUAUGUGACAGAAAGGAGUAUAGCUUUCUUCUUUAAAACUACAGAACAUAUGACUUUCAUAUUUUAGCAGAAGAGAAAAUACAUUGCAUUAAAGUAUAGUUUGUGGAGUAUUUUACUUUCUUUAGAUAAAAAGAGGUAUGCCAACAAAAGAUGUUUUGGGAGAAGCUAUAAUAGAGCACUGGCACCAGCUCAAAAUCCCACUCCAUCCUCGCCUCUCCCGGCACUCUGCAGAGCAUCACUGGAGGAAAGUUCCUUGAGUGGGUGAGCCAAACGUUCGCGUUCCAGCCUCUCCGAGUUGAAGCCACAGAGAAUUCUGAGCCACAGCACAGGUGACAAUCACUGUUCCUCUAGAGAAUGAUGUUCCAAAGGACUGUGGCUACAGUCACUGCAUAGAAUUCAAGAGAGUGAAAAGCAACUGAAACAUGGCUGCAGUGUCCCGCCCGGUGUCAGCCAGUGUUACCUGAGCCACUUUCCAUGGGGGAAGUAACUGCAUCUGAGAACUUCUAUGUUUCCCAUGAGCAUACUCUCUGGAUUGUACCAUAUGAUGAGGUCUUUUCAUACAUGAUCCUCACUCAGCCACUCAUUAAGGUGAUCAGCAAAAGUCAAAAUAAUAGGAAAGGCUGAAAAAAAUGACUUUUAAAAAAUUAUAAAGGUAAGUUUUUCCAAACCAUUCAUUUUGGUAGAGAAAAAAAUAUAGAGUCUGGAUAGCAAGUUUACAAGUCUAUAAGGAGGCAGGAGGAUCACUUGAAUCCAGACUCCAUCUCUAAAAAAUGGUUUUGAGGAAAAAGAAAAUCAGUUUAUAGUGGAACAUAUGUGGUUCCACUUCCUCACUGCCUCAGCUUGACCAUCCUAAGAAAAAUCACUUCAAGGCUAUGUUUUUUGUGUGUGCAUUCCCAGGAGCCAAGUAGCUCUAGACAUCAUGUAAAUGGCACUUGGGGGGGGAGACUUUAUAGAAAAUUACAGAUGGAGGUUACAUCCUGCCACUCAUUCAAGCUAGGACCACAGAAGGAAACCUUUCUCCUCUGUUUUAAUUGUUCAGGACCCUGAAACAGUGGACUAGACUAGUUCAAACCAAAGAAUGUCUUAGGAUAUACCCACUUGGAGGACCAGCACCUGGCGGGUGCUGGUUCUACAUGCUCUUCAGCUGUUCAGGGAUAUAAAAAGGCAU